UGUAAAAUGAUGAGAAACUUGGAUCUGAAACUGAUGUGGAUAACAAACACAUAAUGGUCUUCAAAGUUCUCUGAUUGCC
Small nucleolar RNA from Ananas comosus (pineapple), 79 nucleotides. It matches the Rfam family "Small nucleolar RNA R160". Rfam says of the family: snoR160 is a C/D box small nucleolar RNA, which acts as a methylation guide for 25S ribosomal RNA in plants. snoR160 has been alternatively named snoZ270 in rice. The record is from Rfam. NCBI's taxonomy places the organism in Eukaryota, Viridiplantae, Streptophyta, Magnoliopsida, Poales, Bromeliaceae.